This 254-nucleotide ribosomal RNA is filed under the name uncultured bacterium. RNAcentral's name for it is "partial 16S ribosomal RNA". It matches the Rfam family "Bacterial small subunit ribosomal RNA", at positions 524 to 776 of the family's 1533-position model. The record is from RNAcentral.
UACGGGGGGAGCAAGCGUUGUUCGGAUUUACUGGGCGUAAAGGGCGCGUAGGCGGCCACCGCAAGUCGGUUGUGAAAUCUCUGGGCUUAACCCAGAAAGGUCAACCGAUACUGCGGGGCUAGAGUGCAGAAGGGGCAACUGGAAUUCUCGGUGUAGCGGUGAAAUGCGUAGAUAUCGGGAGGAACACCAGUGGCGAAGGCGGCACUCUGGGCCGGUACUGACGCUGAGGAGCGAAAGCGUGGGGAGCGAACAGG